GUAAGUACUAUACCUUAAGGGCAGCUCAGGACCUCGCUCAAGACCAUCACUUUCCUGGGAGUGAGGGGCUGAGAUAUGUUCCUCUGACCUAUACUGCCUCUUGGUUAUCCAGCUGUUUGUUUGUUGUUGAUUUGUUUUUUGGCAGUUUUGUUAGGUAGGCCAGGCUGACUUCCACAAGGCAAUCUUCCUGUCUCAGCCUUCAGGUGCUAGAAUUAGAGGCAUGAACUACCACACCCAGCUAAAUCCUUCUCUUUGGCCUUUGAGACAAGGUCUCUCUAUGUAGGCUGUCCUGGAGCUAAGUACACAGACUGGUCUAGCUUCAAACACACAACGAUUCUCGCCUCUGCUUCCCUAGGGCUGAGUUUAAAGCUGAGCAACAACAAACCGGCUUAAACUGGUUCUUUUAUUACUCAACAUUCUAAGAGUUUCCGGAAGUUCUGAUAGUAGAAAAUAAUGCCAAGAUUUCUCCCUCCACUCCAGUUUUCAUAAAAGGAGAUGGAAUAUACAUUCAAAUUAUUAUGUGUUCUAUGUUAGAGUCAAAACUUGGAGUUUAUCAGUGUGUGCAUACAUCCACCUCUUCUUUUUAUUAACUUUUAUGAAACCUGCUUCGUCUAUUUGGAGGCAGGCCACAAACAGGGACCCAGCAAGAUGGAGCUCGCCUGUGCGUUUACUGCGUGGUCUUGGCCUUUUGGUUCAUUUAUCUUCCAUCUGAUUAUGCAACUCUCCCUCCACAUCUUGACUGAUACUCUGGGCCAGCUCAUGCCCACAGCGUCCUUAACGCUCCGCUUCUGGGGGACACAAGGACCAGCCCAAAGGGACUGAGAAGGACGGCUGCUUACUGUUGCGCUGACUCCUUACACAGCUUCUCGACUUACUCAUUCAGCAGCGCUUUCAGAUGGAGCUGUAAGCUGCGCACUGCCGUGUGGACGUUGUUCAGCUCUCUCCACUUCGGCUGGGUUUUGGGUAAGCGCUGAGGGACUGACUGGUGCUGAGUUUCAAAGUACCGAAAGAACUCAUAGCUGCGCUUUAGCUCGUCCAAGCAGGCAGUGUGAGCAUGAGGUAGACCUUGAGUCACAUCAGAGAGAAUACGAUGAGGCAAGAGUGCAGCAGUCAGUAAGGGCCCAGAAGGCGAAUUUGCUGUGGAAAGUAGCAGAGCUAGGCGUCUGAAGAACUCUGAACUCUGUGCCACCCAGAGUUGGAACAAAACCUAUGAGAGAGAUGGGGGACGGGUGGGGAGACCGAAAACAUACCGAUUAAUAAAAAUGUCAAUAUGCAAAACAAACUACAAACUUACCAUCUGACUUUAAAUUUUCCCACAUUAUCCUAAAGGACUCUAUACUGAAUUACACAGUCAUAACCUGUGAGUUGUUAGGGCUCUAGUACAGAAGCCACUACCUAUAUGGAAUUUAGCACAGUCCUAUCCUAGAUAGAAAUGACCUAAGAAUGGGUGGAGGGCUGGAGAGAUGGCUCAGUUCCCACCACCCGUGUGACAGUUUACAACUGCUUGUAACUCCAGCUCCAGGGGAAACUGAUACCUCUGACUUCAUGUGGUGUACACAGACACAUAUAACUUAAAAUAAUAAGAUGAAGCCAGGUAUAGUGGCAGAUGCCUACAAUGCCAGACUCAGGAGGCAGAGGCAGGCAGAUUUGCUGAGUUAGAGGCCAGCCUGGUCUACACAGUGAGUCUCAGGACAGCCCAGGUUAUGCAUAGAGACUUCCUGUCUCACAAAUUUAUUAGGAAUGAAUUUUCCUUAAAAUGUAUUUUGAGGCUGAUGAGAUAGCUUAGCAGGUAACGGAGGCACUGCACACAUGUGGUGCAGACAUACAUGCAGGCGAAACAUCCACAUACACAGAUUCAAAAAAAGACUUUGGGGUUCAAGCCAGCUGUGGUGGUGCACACCUUUAAUCCCAGCACUCAGGAGGCAGAAGCAAACAGAUCCCUUCAAAUUCUAAGGCUGGUGAAGGCUACAGCCUUGAGAUCCUAUCUCAAGGAAAAGAAAAGAAAAAAAUAAACUGGGGUUCAGAGUGAGACUACUACUUUGUCCUAAGAAUUAGCAUGACUGGCAUGAAAACUGCAAACCUAUUUUUUUUUUUUUAAAGAAUGAUUACGUGUGUACAUGUGUUUGCUAUAGCGGCCGGAAGAGGCUGUCGGAUCUCAUGGAGUUGGAGUUACAGGUGGUUGUGAGCUGUUUAACAUGGGUAAUGAGACUGAACUCGGGUCCUCAGAAGAACAUUAUAUGCUCCUAACUACUGUAUUAUCUCUCCAGUCUCUGUGAAUUUAUGCUUGAGAGAUAUAACAGAAAGCAAGAGAGCUAAGGACCUCUGCAGACACAGUCCUAACCUAUGGGACAAUAGCCCCAAAGCAAACACAUAACGAAGCACUUUAGCACUAACAAGUAAAACACAGCAAACAGAUCAAUCUAUUUCAGACAAUUUAGAUUCCAAUUAUUCACAACCUUGAAAAUAGAUAUUCUUGAGAUUUUUUUUAAAUGAAUUUCAAAUUAUGCAAAUGAUUUCAUGUGACUCUACACAGACAGGCAGAGAGAGAGAGAGAGAGAGAGAGAGAGAGAGAGAGAGAGAGAGAGAGAGAGGAGAUGCACAUAUACUGAUGAAGGGAAGGAAAGAAAGCAAUAGAGGGUAAGGCCAGGAAGGUCUCUGAGAGUGUAAUCUAGAAAGAAGCAUGGUCCAUUAAGGCAUUCUAUGACACAUGAGUUUUAUGUCCAGAGUCCUGUGGCAGUAACAUACGUAGCAUAUCUAAGAACAGCAAGGUCAAUGUGGUUGGACCCAGGUUAAGCAGAAAGGAGCAUGGUGUAUUGUGCAAUUCUGGAUUUUAGUGAGAGAAACAGGGAGUUACUGAGCACAAGAAUAAAAUAAAAAAUAAAACUUUUGGUUUAACAGGCUCCUUCCAGCUGUUGAUUUCAAGAAUGGGAGAGUACAGGUCAGGGUUAGGAAAAUCGUCCAAGUCCAUGUACCCUGGAGCCCAGCACUCCUCGGGAGGAAAAGUGAUGGUGAGGAGAGAACAGCACAGGCACAAGAGGACCGCCUCGGUGCACUGAGGAGGAGGAGCCUGCAAGUGCACUGAGGCAGUGAAUCAGGAGGUUUGGCACAAACAUUAAAAAGGAGCUGGUUGGCAUCCAAGUGAUGCUUUAAAAAUACAGACUUAUUGAAUUUCUGCUACACACCAAAGCUCAGAAAUACAUUUUUUUCUCCUGUUUGUUCUUUGGAUAAGGUAUAUAUAUUCUUCUUCCGCUUGUUCUUCUGGAUAAGCUGCUUUGGCUAAGGGAAUAUCCAAAGCUUACGGGUGAGUAACACAUUAUUUUAAUUUUUAAAUACUUCAUGGCAUCUGGAUUCAUUUCUUAAAUCAGAAAAUACAGUGUUUAAUUAACAACAACAACAACAAAAACUAGUUAAUCACUUAAAGAAUCCAGGCACAGUGCCAUAUACUUAUAAUCCCAGUUACUGAGCAGAUAAGAGGAUUACUUGAGAUCAUCAGUUCAAAACUAGCCAGACAUAGUGAGAUCCUGCCUCAAAAAACAAAAAACAAAACAAAACAAAAAACCCAAAAAACCCCCCAAAAACAAUCAAACAAACCAAAUACUGCAACAACAACGCAAGAGGAAAAAGUCUUUCACUCCUCUAAAGAGAGAAUUCACUAUACUAGGGAUUAUUUAUUUUUGAGAUUUAAGUCUAUGUGUAUACCUAUAUACUUAAAAGGAAGUUAUCUCCUUGGGCUAAUAGUAACUCCCUGCCCCAAGAGCCAUAGACAACCUAACAAAACUCCCAAUAGGAGGCAUGAGAAGCCACAUUUUGAGUUGCUGGCCAAGGGAAUCCAAGAACCUCCCAAACAAUAAAGGCCACUGAUGUGGCACGUCAUUACUGCCCAGUGGCUGAAGAUGCCAUGCACUUUGGACACAGGACCCAGAGGAUCAAAGCCGAUCUGACCUGAAAGCCUGCUCCCUGAAGACUAGCUUCUUAGUAUGGAAAGGUGCCAUGCGAGUUUCCAAAGGAGCAAGACAACCCAGUCCUUCGGCUGUAAUUCCUGUGACCCACAAGGACAACUAGCAUGGCAGCAGUGGCACGUACAUCUUGGUGGUGACCAACAACUCUCUAGUGGAACUGAAGGCCCGAUCAGGAGGAGGGACAGUAUGCCUGGUGCUGGGAACCUAGCCAAGUACAGGGUGCUAGUGAGGAUCUUAGAGAGAACCUAACAUUGUCACUUUACUAAACCAGCAUGAUUGCUAACGUCCUUGUAAGUAUCUACCAAAAUACCCAUAGGUAAGUACAGCGCUCACGUCUCAUUGCCUCUCUUUGCAACAGCAGACCCUUACAGAACACUACAAAGAAUACGAAGUACAAGGACAACGGAUCACGGGGUGCCAAGCCCCAGGUGAUACAUCUAGAAUGUAAGGAGAAGCACUGAGGAGGGGCAGAAAGCUUGGAAGAGCAGAGUCCUUGAGAAGCUGCUAUGAGAUCAUGUCUCCUAGAAAGGAAAGGGAAACUCACCCACGGUGCCUAAGCAAUACAGCUGCUUAAACAAGACCUGAAGAAGUAGAACAGCAGAAGGCUUGGGAGGGGGGGGAAAGCUCGUGGGGCCCCACUCCUAGACAAAGAACUACAGGGAACUAAGAAAUGCUGAGAGCGGUGGUAGUAGUCUGCCCCAGGGAUGGGUCCUUAGUUGUUUAUCCAGUACUAUAUGGUCAGCCCUGAUGUCAUAUACACACAGGAAUUACUACAUGGACUGAGCAGGAUGUAUUUACAUAUUUAGGCAUUCAUACACAGAGACACAUGCACAUGCACACACCAGGUGGAUGGGUAGGUUAUAUUAAUAUAUUUAGGCAUUUACACACACACACACACACACACACACACACACACACACACACACUCACUCACACACUCACACACUAUAAUUAACAACUAAAGAAAAGGUGCACAUUACAGUAACAACUAAAGAAAAAGAAGCCAUGAUUUGGAGAUGGCGAUGGAGAUGGGAUACAUGGGAGAUGUUGGGAAGGGGGAAAGGAAAAGGAGAAAAUAAUGUGAUUAUAUUUUAAUUAAAAAAACAAACAAACAAACCAGAAAACAAAUGAAAAACGACAUCAAAACCUAAAUAGGAAACUCAGUAGUUAUCUUAAUGACUGAACAAAAAUAACUUAAAGAGAUGUAAAAACAUUAAAAUCGAUUUUCUGAAUCCUUCUUAAAAACUAGCAACGAGGAGCAAAGAAAAGGGUGGAGUGAUGGCUCAGUGGUUAUAACACAUGCUCACAAAGGACCUGGCUUUGAUUCCCAGCUCCACGUGGGGGCUUAUAUGUGGUGCUGGGAAUUGAAGUUAAGUCAGGGUCUGGGGGUCCAACACCGUCUUUUGACUUUCAGAUAUGUAUAUGGUGCACAGAUGCACAUGCAUUCAAGGCAUUCAUAUACAUAAAAUAAAAUUUAAAAGACAGGGAAGCACAUAGCGUGUGAACUUAAAUACGUAUCUCUAUAACAAACAAGAGGCAGUGACUGUAGGGACCCAUUAAGUGACCAGCUCUGCUUUAGACAUUUUGAGAGUCUUCUCAUUUACUCUAACAUUUUAAAAAGCAGUUGUGUUUUUACUACCUUUAAAGAAAAAGAUGUGAUGGGUCUAAAGAAUAGUUUAUAUUUAAGGUCAAAUCAGAGUCCAGGUUAAAAUAUAAAAUCACUUCUGCUGAAUUAAAAAUCUCUCAAGUUAGCGCAAGGCCCUGGGUUCGGUCCCCAGCUCCGAAAAAAAGAACCAAAAAAAAAAAAAAAAAUCUCUCAAGUUAUUCUUUCAAGAAGACAUUGCUUUAUAGAGUAAAAGUGUGAUCAUGAGGAUUACCCUGGAAAUAACAGAAAUGGCUUAAAGCCUCCACACCCUGUGAGCACUGUUAGCAGUUCUGCUACUCUUUCCCUGCCCUAAAGCGCAGUCCUGGCUCCUCUGUAACCACGCACCUGACUGCUGCAGAGGAAGCAGACGCUGUACAAAGGUUUAGCAUGCAGACCUACUCUGACUCAUGCGGCCAUUCCUUCAUUCUCUCACAGCUCCCACCUCUGAAAAGCUCUCAGCAUUAAAAACGAGGACAUCAUGAGUUUUGCAGGCAAAUGGAUUGAAUUAGAAAAUAUCAUCCUGAUUGAGACAGGAGCCUGGCACGGCUGUCCUGUGAGUGGCCCUACCAGCAGCUGACUGAGACAGAUGCAGAUUCUUCCAGCCAACCACUGGAGUGAUGUCAGGGACGCCGAUGGAAGAGUUAGAAGGACUGAAGGAGCGGAAUGGGAUGGCAACCCCAUAGGAAGAACAAUAGUUAUCAACUAACAUGGACCCCUAGGAGCUCCCGGAGACUGAGCCACCACCACAGACCAUCCAUGGCACAUACGCAGCAGGGCUGACUAGUCUGGUCUCGGUGGGAGAGGAUGUGCCUGUAGAGAGUUGAUGCCCCAGGGAAGGGGGCUGUGAGGGAGGGGGUGAG
Molecule: non-coding RNA, 6464 nt
Organism: Rattus norvegicus (Norway rat)
Lineage: Eukaryota; Metazoa; Chordata; Mammalia; Rodentia; Muridae
Source: RefSeq, a predicted model, not a curated record